This is a long non-coding RNA of Malus domestica (apple), 404 nucleotides long. RefSeq lists it as uncharacterized. The record is from RefSeq and is a predicted model, not a curated record. Lineage: Eukaryota; Viridiplantae; Streptophyta; Magnoliopsida; Rosales; Rosaceae.
UCAGUUUGAUAAAAGGAAAGUGUCCCCGAGAGCACUAUAUUUGUGAUUUUGUGCUGCCGUAUCAUUCGGAAGACGGUGACAUGAACUAGCUCUUUUGUCUAUCAUGAUGUUGGGAAAGAGCAACCAAUUUGUUAGAGAUGUUCUCUGUCCUGGUAGGAGCUUGCAUGACUUGGGGCAACCAUACAUACGUGUGCUCGAAAUGGAGAAUUGCUCCACGAGAGGAUUCAAGAGUGGAAGAGUAAGGGGUUUGAAGUGAAUGGCUCAGUUUGUUAUCUCACAUCUAAAUAUCAGAGGGAGGAGCUCAUAAAGAUUGUCUCAUCUGCUUUUCAUGGCUAGCUUUACAUCCUUUUAAGUUUAUUUCACUGUCGUUGUUAUCUUGUUUUCUAUGAAGCACGGAUACUUUA